UCUUCAAAAUAACAUAUUCAAAAAUGGCCGCCAUAUCUGAAGCGAUAAAAAAUUAAAAGUGCAAAUGAUAGCCACUGUUGCCAAUAAUUUGGAAUGUUACCUUAAGAUUCAAAAUAUUAAAUUUGAAAAAACUCAAAAAGGAAAUCAUUUAAUAAUUUAUUUAGGGUACGAGUACAAAAAGUGCCAACAAAAAAUUUAUACACUUAAGUUGUCGUGAUAAUUGUUCUGGUAGAGCUAAGCUCUCAUUAAAGGACAUAAUAAUCACGAUAGAACACACAGCGAAGUGUAAAUUCUUCCAUAAACAUAAUCACAAGAUUCUGUGAUUUUGCCUGAUAUCUUAAUUUCAUCCAAUGGUAUUCCACAUUUGGAACCACAAGUUUCUCUCAUAGUGCCUGAUAUCUCAAUUUCAUCCAAUGGUAUUCCAUAUUUGGAAGCACAAGUUUCUCCCAUAGUGCCUGACACAAAUCUAGAUUCCCCUCUUGACAUAGCCCAAGUCUUAUUAGACUUAAAUUCAAAUAUUUAUGAGGCUCGUUUUGUCAAAAGCCAAAAGGGGAAAAUGUUACUCUUAUUUCAGAACUAUCUAUAUAGAUUUCACUGUCAAAAUAGGGACAUUAUAAAAUAUCGUUGUAGAGUAGCUGAUUGUCAUGCUAAAUGCAUAUUUGAUGGUGCUUAUAUUGCUUCGGGUAGUGUUGUUAAUUAGUUGAUUUCUUCCGACUAAGACUAAUAGUCGUAGUCGAGGAAAUCGACUAAAAACUUUAGCGACUAAAUUAGUCGAUUAGUCGACUAAAACGACUAAUUAGUCGACUAAAAAAGACUAAUUAGUCGACUAAAAACGACUAAUUAGUCGACUAAAAACGACUAAUUAGUCGACUAAAAGCGACUAAUUUAGUCGACUAAUCAGAGAAGAUAAACAAAAAGAAGUAAAGUGAGAAUUUGUCAUUAAAAUAACUAUAUGAGUUAUAUAUAAGUUAUUUUUAAUAUUUUUUGAAUUUAUUUUUCUUUGAAGGAACAGGUUAAAAUUAUAAAUUGUUAUUUUUGAACUUUUUUUAAAUUAUUUUAAAGCAAGGUAUAUAUAUUGUAAACAUGUUGAAUCAAAAUUUCAGUGAAGAUGUACCAUAGAAAAGUGACAAUUGUCAUAAUCGUCAUUUUUAAGUUUUUUUGAAGCAUAUGGGUAAAAAUAUAUAUUGUAAACAUGUUAUAUUUAAAUUUCAGUGAAGAUGUACCAUAGAAAAGUGACAAUUGUCACAAUCGUCAUUUAUAGGUUUUUUUGAAAUUUUUUGAAGCAAAUGGUGAAGAUGUACCAUAGAAAAGUGACAAUUGUCAUAAUCGUCAUUUAUAUGUUUUUUUGAAAUUUUUUGAAGCAAAUGGUGAAGAUAUACCAUAGAAAAGUGACAAUUGUCAUAAUCGUCAUUUAUAUGUUUUUUUGAAAUUUUUUGAAGCAAAUGUGUAAAAAUAUAUAUUGUAAACAUGUUAUAUUAAAAUUUCAGUGAAGAUAUACCAUAGACUAGUGAUAAUUCUCAUAAUCAUUAUUUUUUUAACUUUUUUGAAGUAACAGAGUAAAAUAAAUUGUAAACAUGUUAAUUUGAAAUUUAAAUGAGGAUGUGACAUAUGACAAUUAAUAUAUUCGUUAAUUUUAAGAUCUUUAGAAUCAUUGCUGAAACGAGCUAGGAUUUAGCUUACGCCCUUCCAUCUAAUUUUAAAAGUGAUAACGGACCGAUUUAAAAAUUUAAACUUUUAUUAGUUAUUUAAAAUUUAUUAGGUAAACAUUAAAAAAUAUAUGCUUCAUUUUUAAUACUAAAGUACCGAUUACUUUUUUGGAUAUUAAUGUUGAGAGAAGGUAAUUAGAUUAAAAAUACUUUUUGGAUUUUUUUGUAUGUAACUAACAUCGACGUGGAUUAAAAUUUAA
Long non-coding RNA from Gordionus sp. m RMFG-2023, 1906 nucleotides. RefSeq lists it as uncharacterized. NCBI's taxonomy places the organism in Eukaryota, Metazoa, Nematomorpha, Gordioida, Chordodea, Parachordodidae. The record is from RefSeq and is a predicted model, not a curated record. The transcript is spliced from 9 exons.